GGAGACGUGUCCGAGUGGCCGAAGGAGCGGGAUUGCUAAUCCCGUGUAGGGUUUCCCCUACCGAGGGUUCGAAUCCCUCCGUCUCCGCCA
Molecule: transfer RNA, 90 nt
Filed under: Deltaproteobacteria bacterium
Lineage: Bacteria; Pseudomonadati; Myxococcota; Myxococcia
Description: tRNA-Ser
Rfam family: tRNA
About the family: Transfer RNA (tRNA) molecules are approximately 80 nucleotides in length.
Source: RNAcentral